Molecule: non-coding RNA, 667 nt
Organism: Xyrichtys novacula (pearly razorfish)
Lineage: Eukaryota; Metazoa; Chordata; Actinopteri; Labriformes; Labridae
Source: the annotation of a GenBank genome assembly
GUCGGGAAACAUGAACAUGUGGAGACUGAUGCACAUUUCUCUAACCAUCAGAGAGAAACGGCUCUGUACAAAUAAAUUAAUCAGGCCCAGCUACACUUCCUGUCUGAGCUCAGAGAGUAAUCCAUCAAUCAUCGACCAAUCAGGGGGAACACGGGAACAAUCAGCAGAGAAGAAGAAGAAGUCCAUGAAUCACUGCACGCCACCGCCGCCGCCGCCGCUGCUAAAGACUCCCAGAAAGGUGUUCGCUUUAGGCGCCAAAACAAUCCCACAUGAGUUCAUGUUUAAUGGUCAAAUCCCAGCGAGUAAAGACAGAGUUUGGUUUUCUGUCUGCAGGAGCUUCAGCUGCUCACAGGAACAGAAGUUCAGAUUCAGCUGAAACUGUGAACACAUGAGGCGACGUUCAGCUGUUCACUUCAGGUCAGAGACUGAGAUCUGAGGAAGUCAAGGUUAGUUUAGUUAAACUUGGUUUAGUUUAGUUAAACUUGGUUUAGUUUAGUUAAACUUGGUUUAGUUUAGUCUGGUUUGGGUUCAGUUUAAAGCUGAGGUUCAGAUGGGUUUGGGUCAGUUGGUUAAAGGGUUAGUAAAGUUAGUUUAAGUGUCUUUUUUCUGCGUAAUUUCUGUCUAACUUUUGUCUUAUUUUUGUCUAAUUAUUUCUGUAUUAUUUUGU